Molecule: non-coding RNA, 71 nt
Organism: Parelaphostrongylus tenuis
Lineage: Eukaryota; Metazoa; Nematoda; Chromadorea; Rhabditida; Metastrongylidae
Source: the annotation of a GenBank genome assembly
ACUCCGGUGGUGUAGUGAUAGCACGCCUCCCUAGCAUGGGUGAAACACGGAUUCAACUCCCGUCUGAGAUU